This 900-nucleotide ribosomal RNA is filed under the name Euglena geniculata. RNAcentral's name for it is "LSU rRNA". It matches the Rfam family "Eukaryotic large subunit ribosomal RNA", at positions 2172 to 2960 of the family's 3401-position model. The record is from RNAcentral. Lineage: Eukaryota; Euglenozoa; Euglenophyceae; Euglenales; Euglenaceae.
AGCUGGCUGGUACCAUGAGGUGACUUCUGCCCAGUGCUCUGACUGUCAAUGCGAAGAGAUUCAGCCAAGCGCGGGUAAACGGCGGGAGUAACUAUGACUCUCUUAAGGUAGCCAAAUGCCUCGUCAACCAAUUAUUGACGCGCAUGAAUGGAUCAACGAGAUUCCUGCUGUCCCUGGUCGCUGUCUGGUGAACCAACAACCAAGGGAACGGGCUUGGAUGUGUCAGCGGGGAAAGAAGACCCUGUUGAGUUUGACUCUAGUCUGAUGCUGUGCAGUGACAUGGAGGGUGUAGCACAGGUGGGAGGAGCGCGUGCCCCCUCCGGGGUGAGCACUCUAGCAGUGAAAUACCACUACCUCCACCGUCACUUUACUCAUUGAGUGAUCUGGGAACGGUAGCCACUCGGAACUCAUCUGCCUGUUCACUCGCUGGACGGGCAGUGGCUGUUCCCCGCUUCAUGCGUCAAGCGCGGUGCCCUCGCGGUGCCGCGCGACCCUGGGCUGCAAUCCAAAUACAGAGGCCUCAAGACACUGAUCAGUCGGGGAGUUUGGCUGGGGCGGCACGCCUGUUACAUCACAACGCAGGCGUCCUGAAGCAAUGCUCAGAUGGAACAGAAAUCUCUCCGGGAGGAGAAGGCCAAAGGUGUUGCUGAUGCUGUGACCUUCAGUACAGGUCCAAAACAUGCAAGUGUGGCCUAGCGAUCCUUUGGUCAAGCGCACGAGUUCGGGAUAUCGAAGCCAGAGGUGUCAGAAAAAUUACCACAGGGAUAACUGGCUUGUGGCAGCCAAGCGCUCAGAGCGACGUUGCUUUUUGAUCCUUCGAUGUCGGCUCUUCCUAGCUUCCCGCCCGCAGCCGAGCGGAAGAGUUGGAUUGUUCACCCCCCAACAGGGAACGUGAGCUGG